Molecule: long non-coding RNA, 1041 nt
Organism: Oncorhynchus gorbuscha (pink salmon)
Lineage: Eukaryota; Metazoa; Chordata; Actinopteri; Salmoniformes; Salmonidae
Exons: 4
Source: RefSeq, a predicted model, not a curated record
CUUUCGCAAGCCAUUGUAUACUAAAUAAUAUACAUGUGAAAUUUGAUUUGAUUCAGAAUGGACCAUGAUCAUUAUCGAAACAGGGGCAGCGGGGAAAAAGACGUGAAAUCUAUGCACUACAGUAAAUAGCGAAAGGAGGACGCUUUUCCCCAUGGUUUAUUUUCAUGCCAGCCAGACACAGAAAUCAGCUCAUCAUGGGAGACUUGGGAACACAGUGCUUUAGCAGCCUCAUUCUCAGUGUUGCCCAGGAUUUCCCCUUAAGCCCAGAGAAUCCUGUACAGACCAACAGAACUCUGCGCACAACGAGUUUUCAGUCCGCACCUGCAGAUGAUGAUGGUGACAGUCUACCAAAAAGCUGUAUGAUGAGGAAGACCAGAUCCAGAUGCCAACCAGAGGCUCAGACACAAUGGUCUCAGAUUCCACUUGAGAUCCAGCACUAUCUUAUCACUGCAACAUGACGUUGCCUGAAGCUUGGCCUAGUCCAAGGCCAUCUCCACUGCACUAGGACACUAAAAUGGAUGUAAACAGAGAUGCCUUCAUUCUACCACAUUUUACAAAGUCAUUUCAUGUUUGAUUUAUGCACCAAUAUAUUAUAAUGUAUUUUCUAUUUAACCUUUAUUUAACUAGGUGAGUCUGUUAAGAACAAAUUCUUAUUUACAAUGAUGUCCUACCCUGGCCAAACCCUAACCCGGACGACGCUGGUGCGCCGCCCUAUGGGACUCCCCAUCAUGGCCGGUUGUGAUACAGUCUGGAAUCAAAACAGGGUCUGUAGUGACACCUCUAAGCACUGAGAUGUAUUGUCUUAGACUGACCCAUAAUAAAGUGAAUAACUUUUGUUUCUUACUUGUAUGUGUUACAUGUAAGGUUGAAUAGGUUCAUUUGGAUUAUACAAAUGACUCAAUUACAGUGUUGUUCAGGUUGACUUGAAAUAUUGUUAUUACUUUGUCCUCUGUUUUGGUAUUGUACUUUCUGUAACUGGUCUCAUCACCUGCCCACUGCGUUGCUUAUGAAUGACACUUGCCAUAAAGUGAAGCAAGCCAA